RNAcentral lists this ribosomal RNA (253 nucleotides) under uncultured bacterium. RNAcentral's name for it is "partial 16S ribosomal RNA". It matches the Rfam family "Bacterial small subunit ribosomal RNA", at positions 524 to 776 of the family's 1533-position model. The record is from RNAcentral.
UACGUAGGGUGCAAGCGUUGUCCGGAAUUAUUGGGCGUAAAGAGCUCGUAGGCGGUUUGUUGCGUCGGCUGUGAAAUCCCGAGGCUCAACCUCGGGUCUGCAGUCGAUACGAGCAAACUAGAGUGUUGCAGGGGAGACUGGAAUUCCUGGUGUAGCAGUGAAAUGCGCAGAUAUCAGGAGGAACACCGGUGGCGAAGGCGGGUCUCUGGGCAACAACUGACGCUGAGGAGCGAAAGCGUGGGGAGCAAACAGG